RNAcentral lists this long non-coding RNA (311 nucleotides) under Ananas comosus (pineapple). Its description in RNAcentral is "long non-coding RNA (ACOM_LNC033443)". Lineage: Eukaryota; Viridiplantae; Streptophyta; Magnoliopsida; Poales; Bromeliaceae. The record is from RNAcentral.
UUUCAUACGCCAGAACUGUUGGAAUAAAUACCGCACAGAAAUCUAAUUGUGAUUAAAAAUCUAACUAAUUUUAAGAUAAAUAUAAAAUUAGACUUACAAAUAAACGCUAAAAUCCAAAUAAAAUUAUUGAUUGAUCGAGAAGCGUGCGAGGUACUGCCCUAAGGCGUAUUCCCGUCCUUACGUGCGGGAUUAACCGAAAAUAAUACCCCAAGGUACGAACGGAAUUCCUCCUCCUGCGAGCACGAUCGUGAAGAAGAUUGACGGAGACUCUUUCAACACCCGAUGAUAAAAAGAAUCAAAUAAAUUAAAAU